RNAcentral lists this unclassified non-coding RNA (552 nucleotides) under Hevea brasiliensis (rubber tree). Lineage: Eukaryota; Viridiplantae; Streptophyta; Magnoliopsida; Malpighiales; Euphorbiaceae. The record is from RNAcentral.
GGAGUAGAGAAGUGAGAAAUGGCAGGGUUCCUGGGUUCAUUAAAAAUGUUGUAUAUUUUAAUAGAGAUACUUUAAUCUUUUCAUAGUAAACUAACAGAAAAAAACUUUGAAAAUGGACAGAUAAAAAGUUAGGGAUACAGUAAAAAAUUAGGGAUGUUUUAAUGUAAUUGCAAAAAAGGAGGGUUGAACAAUACCCAUUGACUUUAUAGUAAUGCACCCUUAAAGUAAUGUACAGACACAGGAGAGACAUCAAAUUUAGUGAUCAAUGAAGAAUUAAUUGUAGAACAGUCCAAACUGAUUCUAAGUUAUAACUUUCUGUAUCCGUGCAUCUAUUCUUUUUUCUUCUUUUUUUUUCCAGGAUAAAUGAAAAAAAUUAUGUGCAAUGGUUUAUGAGUUGAUGAUUAUGCUAAAUUAGCAACCAAAAAAUAAAUAAUAAAAUUGUUUGCUAAGAGAUGUCAAUUUUGAAAAAGAAUUCACAGGACAACAACUUCAGCAAAACAUAAUGCUGUCCCUUUCAAGUUUAACACUAGCAAUUGAGCAAAUAGAAAUUGC